Molecule: transfer RNA, 57 nt
Filed under: Salmo salar (Atlantic salmon)
Lineage: Eukaryota; Metazoa; Chordata; Actinopteri; Salmoniformes; Salmonidae
Rfam family: tRNA
About the family: Transfer RNA (tRNA) molecules are approximately 80 nucleotides in length.
Source: Rfam by way of RNAcentral
AGCUCAGUUGGUAGAGUAUGGUGUUUGCAACGCCAGGGUUGUGGGUUCGAUUCCCAC